Ribosomal RNA from Hylaeus volcanicus, 171 nucleotides. RefSeq annotates it as 5.8S ribosomal RNA. The record is from RefSeq and is a predicted model, not a curated record. NCBI's taxonomy places the organism in Eukaryota, Metazoa, Arthropoda, Insecta, Hymenoptera, Colletidae. The transcript has a single exon.
UACCCUAAGCGGGGGAUCACUUGGUUCGUGGGUCGAUGAAGAACGCAGCAAACUGCGAGAAUUUAUGUGAACUGCAGGACACAUGAACAUCGACAUUUUGAACGCAUAUUGCGGUUUAUACUGACAAGUUUCUUAACUGAAGCUGUAUAGACCACACAUGGUUGAGGGUUG